AGAGUUUGAUCAUGGCUCAGAUUGAACGCUGGCGGCAGGCCUAACACAUGCAAGUCGAACGGUAACAGGAAGCAGCUUGCUGCUUCGCUGACGAGUGGCGGACGGGUGAGUAAUGUCUGGGAAACUGCCUGAUGGAGGGGGAUAACUACUGGAAACGGUGGCUAAUACCGCAUAACGUCGCAAGACCAAAGAGGGGGACCUUCGGGCCUCUUGCCAUCAGAUGUGCCCAGAUGGGAUUAGCUAGUUGGUGAGGUAACGGCUCACCAAGGCGACGAUCCCUAGCUGGUCUGAGAGGAUGACCAGCCACACUGGAACUGAGACACGGUCCAGACUCCUACGGGAGGCAGCAGUGGGGAAUAUUGCACAAUGGGCGCAAGCCUGAUGCAGCCAUGCCGCGUGUAUGAAGAAGGCCUUCGGGUUGUAAAGUACUUUCAGCGGGGAGGAAGGUGUUGUGGUUAAUAACCACAGCAAUUGACGUUACCCGCAGAAGAAGCACCGGCUAACUCCGUGCCAGCAGCCGCGGUAAUACGGAGGGUGCAAGCGUUAAUCGGAAUUACUGGGCGUAAAGCGCACGCAGGCGGUCUGUCAAGUCGGAUGUGAAAUCCCCGGGCUCAACCUGGGAACUGCAUUCGAAACUGGCAGGCUUGAGUCUUGUAGAGGGGGGUAGAAUUCCAGGUGUAGCGGUGAAAUGCGUAGAGAUCUGGAGGAAUACCGGUGGCGAAGGCGGCCCCCUGGACAAAGACUGACGCUCAGGUGCGAAAGCGUGGGGAGCAAACAGGAUUAGAUACCCUGGUAGUCCACGCCGUAAACGAUGUCUACUUGGAGGUUGUGCCCUUGAGGCGUGGCUUCCGGAGCUAACGCGUUAAGUAGACCGCCUGGGGAGUACGGCCGCAAGGUUAAAACUCAAAUGAAUUGACGGGGGCCCGCACAAGCGGUGGAGCAUGUGGUUUAAUUCGAUGCAACGCGAAGAACCUUACCUGGUCUUGACAUCCACAGAAGAAUCCAGAGAUGGAUUGGUGCCUUCGGGAACUGUGAGACAGGUGCUGCAUGGCUGUCGUCAGCUCGUGUUGUGAAAUGUUGGGUUAAGUCCCGCAACGAGCGCAACCCUUAUCCUUUGUUGCCAGCGGUUAGGCCGGGAACUCAAAGGAGACUGCCAGUGAUAAACUGGAGGAAGGUGGGGAUGACGUCAAGUCAUCAUGGCCCUUACGACCAGGGCUACACACGUGCUACAAUGGCGCAUACAAAGAGAAGCGACCUCGCGAGAGCAAGCGGACCUCAUAAAGUGCGUCGUAGUCCGGAUUGGAGUCUGCAACUCGACUCCAUGAAGUCGGAAUCGCUAGUAAUCGUGGAUCAGAAUGCCACGGUGAAUACGUUCCCGGGCCUUGUACACACCGCCCGUCACACCAUGGGAGUGGGUUGCAAAAGAAGUAGGUAGCUUAACCUUCGGGAGGGCGCUUACCACUUUGUGAUUCAUGACUGGGGUGAAGUCGUAACAAGGUAACCGUAGGGGAACCUGCGGUUG
Molecule: ribosomal RNA, 1522 nt
Filed under: Salmonella enterica subsp. enterica serovar London
Lineage: Bacteria; Pseudomonadati; Pseudomonadota; Gammaproteobacteria; Enterobacterales; Enterobacteriaceae
Description: bacterial SSU rRNA
Rfam family: Bacterial small subunit ribosomal RNA
Source: RNAcentral